UUAAGCGACUAAGCGUACACGGUGGAUGCCCUGGCAGUCAGAGGCGAUGAAGGACGUGCUAAUCUGCGAUAAGCGUCGGUAAGGUGAUAUGAACCGUUAUAACCGGCGAUUUCCGAAUGGGGAAACCCAGUGUGAUUCGUCACACUAUCAUUAACUGAAUCCAUAGGUUAAUGAGGCGAACCGGGGGAACUGAAACAUCUAAGUACCCCGAGGAAAAGAAAUCAACCGAGAUUCCCCCAGUAGCGGCGAGCGAACGGGGAGGAGCCCAGAGCCUGAAUCAGUGUGUGUGUUAGUGGAAGCGUCUGGAAAGGCGCGCGAUACAGGGUGACAGCCCCGUACACAAAAAUGCACAUGCUGUGAGCUCGAUGAGUAGGGCGGGACACGUGGUAUCCUGUCUGAAUAUGGGGGGACCAUCCUCCAAGGCUAAAUACUCCUGACUGACCGAUAGUGAACCAGUACCGUGAGGGAAAGGCGAAAAGAACCCCGGCGAGGGGAGUGAAAAAGAACCUGAAACCGUGUACGUACAAGCAGUGGGAGCACGCUUAGGCGUGUGACUGCGUACCUUUUGUAUAAUGGGUCAGCGACUUAUAUUCUGUAGCAAGGUUAACCGAAUAGGGGAGCCGAAGGGAAACCGAGUCUUAACUGGGCGUUAAGUUGCAGGGUAUAGACCCGAAACCCGGUGAUCUAGCCAUGGGCAGGUUGAAGGUUGGGUAACACUAACUGGAGGACCGAACCGACUAAUGUUGAAAAAUUAGCGGAUGACUUGUGGCUGGGGGUGAAAGGCCAAUCAAACCGGGAGAUAGCUGGUUCUCCCCGAAAGCUAUUUAGGUAGCGCCUCGUGAAUUCAUCUCCGGGGGUAGAGCACUGUUUCGGCAAGGGGGUCAUCCCGACUUACCAACCCGAUGCAAACUGCGAAUACCGGAGAAUGUUAUCACGGGAGACACACGGCGGGUGCUAACGUCCGUCGUGAAGAGGGAAACAACCCAGACCGCCAGCUAAGGUCCCAAAGUCAUGGUUAAGUGGGAAACGAUGUGGGAAGGCCCAGACAGCCAGGAUGUUGGCUUAGAAGCAGCCAUCAUUUAAAGAAAGCGUAAUAGCUCACUGGUCGAGUCGGCCUGCGCGGAAGAUGUAACGGGGCUAAACCAUGCACCGAAGCUGCGGCAGCGACGCUUAUGCGUUGUUGGGUAGGGGAGCGUUCUGUAAGCCUGCGAAGGUGUGCUGUGAGGCAUGCUGGAGGUAUCAGAAGUGCGAAUGCUGACAUAAGUAACGAUAAAGCGGGUGAAAAGCCCGCUCGCCGGAAGACCAAGGGUUCCUGUCCAACGUUAAUCGGGGCAGGGUGAGUCGACCCCUAAGGCGAGGCCGAAAGGCGUAGUCGAUGGGAAACAGGUUAAUAUUCCUGUACUUGGUGUUACUGCGAAGGGGGGACGGAGAAGGCUAUGUUGGCCGGGCGACGGUUGUCCCGGUUUAAGCGUGUAGGCUGGUUUUCCAGGCAAAUCCGGAAAAUCAAGGCUGAGGCGUGAUGACGAGGCACUACGGUGCUGAAGCAACAAAUGCCCUGCUUCCAGGAAAAGCCUCUAAGCAUCAGGUAACAUCAAAUCGUACCCCAAACCGACACAGGUGGUCAGGUAGAGAAUACCAAGGCGCUUGAGAGAACUCGGGUGAAGGAACUAGGCAAAAUGGUGCCGUAACUUCGGGAGAAGGCACGCUGAUAUGUAGGUGAAGUCCCUCGCGGAUGGAGCUGAAAUCAGUCGAAGAUACCAGCUGGCUGCAACUGUUUAUUAAAAACACAGCACUGUGCAAACACGAAAGUGGACGUAUACGGUGUGACGCCUGCCCGGUGCCGGAAGGUUAAUUGAUGGGGUCAGCGCAAGCGAAGCUCUUGAUCGAAGCCCCGGUAAACGGCGGCCGUAACUAUAACGGUCCUAAGGUAGCGAAAUUCCUUGUCGGGUAAGUUCCGACCUGCACGAAUGGCGUAAUGAUGGCCAGGCUGUCUCCACCCGAGACUCAGUGAAAUUGAACUCGCUGUGAAGAUGCAGUGUACCCGCGGCAAGACGGAAAGACCCCGUGAACCUUUACUAUAGCUUGACACUGAACAUUGAGCCUUGAUGUGUAGGAUAGGUGGGAGGCUUUGAAGUGUGGACGCCAGUCUGCAUGGAGCCGACCUUGAAAUACCACCCUUUAAUGUUUGAUGUUCUAACGUUGACCCGUGAUCCGGGUUGCGGACAGUGUCUGGUGGGUAGUUUGACUGGGGCGGUCUCCUCCUAAAGAGUAACGGAGGAGCACGAAGGUUGGCUAAUCCUGGUCGGACAUCAGGAGGUUAGUGCAAUGGCAUAAGCCAGCUUGACUGCGAGCGUGACGGCGCGAGCAGGUGCGAAAGCAGGUCAUAGUGAUCCGGUGGUUCUGAAUGGAAGGGCCAUCGCUCAACGGAUAAAAGGUACUCCGGGGAUAACAGGCUGAUACCGCCCAAGAGUUCAUAUCGACGGCGGUGUUUGGCACCUCGAUGUCGGCUCAUCACAUCCUGGGGCUGAAGUAGGUCCCAAGGGUAUGGCUGUUCGCCAUUUAAAGUGGUACGCGAGCUGGGUUUAGAACGUCGUGAGACAGUUCGGUCCCUAUCUGCCGUGGGCGCUGGAGAACUGAGGGGGGCUGCUCCUAGUACGAGAGGACCGGAGUGGACGCAUCACUGGUGUUCGGGUUGUCAUGCCAAUGGCACUGCCCGGUAGCUAAAUGCGGAAGAGAUAAGUGCUGAAAGCAUCUAAGCACGAAACUUGCCCCGAGAUGAGUUCUCCCUGACUCCUUGAGAGUCCUGAAGGAACGUUGAAGACGACGACGUUGAUAGGCCGGAUGUGUAAGCGCAGCGAUGCGUUGAGCUAACCGGUACUAAUGAACCGUGAGGCUUAACCU
RNAcentral lists this ribosomal RNA (2901 nucleotides) under Escherichia coli. RNAcentral describes it as "23S ribosomal RNA". It matches the Rfam family "Bacterial large subunit ribosomal RNA". Lineage: Bacteria; Pseudomonadati; Pseudomonadota; Gammaproteobacteria; Enterobacterales; Enterobacteriaceae. The record is from RNAcentral.